This 530-nucleotide ribosomal RNA is filed under the name uncultured bacterium. RNAcentral describes it as "bacterial SSU rRNA". It matches the Rfam family "Bacterial small subunit ribosomal RNA", at positions 979 to 1509 of the family's 1533-position model. The record is from RNAcentral.
CCUUGACAUCCAGAGAACUUAGCAGAGAUGCUUUGGUGCCUUCGGGAACUCUGAGACAGGUGCUGCAUGGCUGUCGUCAGCUCGUGUUGUAAAAUGUUGGGUUAAGUCCCGNAACGAGCGCAACCCUUAUCCUUUGUUGCCAGCGGUUCGGCCGGGAACUCAAAGGAGACUGCCGGUGAUAAACCGGAGGAAGGUGGGGAUGACGUCAAGUCAUCAUGGCCCUUACGGCCAGGGCUACACACGUGCUACAAUGGCGCAUACAAAGAGAAGCGACCUCGCGAGAGCAAGCGGACCUCAUAAAGUGCGUCGUAGUCCGGAUUGGAGUCUGCAACUCGACUCCAUGAAGUCGGAAUCGCUAGUAAUCGUAGAUCAGAAUGCUACGGUGAAUACGUUCCCGGGCCUUGUACACACCGCCCGUCACACCAUGGGAGUGGGUUGCAAAAGAAGUAGGUAGCUUAACCUUCGGGAGGGCGCUUACCACUUUGUGAUUCAUGACUGGGGUGAAGUCGUAACAAGGUAAGCGUAGCGAG